RNAcentral lists this ribosomal RNA (393 nucleotides) under uncultured bacterium. RNAcentral describes it as "bacterial SSU rRNA". It matches the Rfam family "Bacterial small subunit ribosomal RNA", at positions 30 to 424 of the family's 1533-position model. The record is from RNAcentral.
AUUGAACGCUGGCGGCAUGCCUUACACAUGCAAGUCGAACGGCAGCGGGCCUUCGGGUGCCGGCGAGUGGCGAACGGGUGAGUAAUGCAUCGGAACGUGCCAUUGAGUGGGGGGAUAACGUAGCGAAAGUUACACUAAUACCGCAUAUUCUGUGAGCAGGAAAGCAGGGGACCGCAAGGCCUUGCGCUCUUUGAGCGGCCGAUGUCAGAUUAGCUAGUUGGUGAGGUAAAGGCUUACCAAGGCGACGAUCUGUAGCGGGUCUGAGAGGAUGAUCCGCCACACUGGAACUGAGACACGGUCCAGACUCCUACGGGAGGCAGCAGUGGGGAAUUUUGGACAAUGGGCGCAAGCCUGAUCCAGCCAUGCCGCGUGAGUGAAGAAGGCCUUCGGGUU